Molecule: non-coding RNA, 77 nt
Organism: Podarcis lilfordi (Lilford's wall lizard)
Lineage: Eukaryota; Metazoa; Chordata; Lepidosauria; Squamata; Lacertidae
Source: the annotation of a GenBank genome assembly
GGGGAAUGGCCAUAGCUCAGUGGUACAGCUUCUGCUUUGCAAGCAAAAGGUCCCAGGAUCAAUCCCCGGUGUCUCCA